GAUGAACGCUGGCGGCGUGCCUAAUACAUGCAAGUCGAGCGAACAGACGAGGAGCUUGCUCCUCUGACGUUAGCGGAGGACGGGUGAGUAACACGUGGAUAACCUACCUAUAAGACUGGGAUAACUUCGGGAAACCGGAGCUAAUACCGGAUAAUAUAUUGAACCGCAUGGUUCAAUAGUGAAAGACGGUUUUGCUGUCACUUAUAGAUGGAUCCGCGCCGCAUUAGCUAGUUGGUAAGGUAACGGCUUACCAAGGCAACGAUGCGUAGCCGACCUGAGAGGGUGAUCGGCCACACUGGAACUGGGACACGGUCCAUACUCCUACGGGAGGCAGCAGUAGGGAACCUUCCGCAAUGGGCGAAAGCCUGACGGAGCAACGCCGCGUGAGUGAUGAAGGUCUUCGGAGCGUAAAACUCUGUUAUUAGGGAAGAACAAAUGUGUAAGUAACUAUGCACGUCUUGACGGUACCUAAUCAGAAAGCCACGGCUAACUACGUG
This 497-nucleotide ribosomal RNA is filed under the name uncultured bacterium. Its description in RNAcentral is "partial 16S ribosomal RNA". It matches the Rfam family "Bacterial small subunit ribosomal RNA", at positions 28 to 507 of the family's 1533-position model. The record is from RNAcentral.